Molecule: RNA transcript, 9749 nt
Organism: Triticum aestivum (bread wheat)
Lineage: Eukaryota; Viridiplantae; Streptophyta; Magnoliopsida; Poales; Poaceae
Exons: 2
Source: RefSeq, a predicted model, not a curated record
UCUAAAAAUAAAGAUGUUCUCCUGGUUGGCUGUCCUUGGCAAGUGUUGAACGACUGACAGUUUGAUCAAGAGGGGUUGGCCACACAACCCAGUGUGCUCGCUAUGCAGCACCGUGCAGGAGACUGGCAUUCAUCUGUUUUUUUUUCGCGAAUAUGCAAAGCUUGCGUAUCAAUUCAUUGAUAGGUAGAAGAGAAGCAACAGUGACAUACAUACCGAAAAAGGCUUCCGCCCCACUUUAUAAAUAAAGCAAACUGCCAAAGACAGAAUCCAGUACACACAAGAAACACCACACCACACGACACAAAGUACGGAAGGAAGUACUGAGAGGUUCUGCUGAGAGCACAGCUCAACAAGCCCAAAAGGAACAACAAAAUACAAGCCGCAGUCCCAGAGCAGGGGCAGCUAAUCUGGCUCGGGAGAAGGUGGUGGCAGCGGUGACGUCAGGCGGAGCGCGAUGUAGCGAAGACCAGCGGAGAUGGAGCGAUGAUCGCGUGCUCCGGGCGACGGCUAAGGGGCUUCCAAAGCUGCAGGAAACCACAAAGUUUGUAUAGGGCAUCCGUAGACCGCCGAAGAGGCGUAUGUUCAAUCACAAGCUUGUUGCGGAUCGUCCACAACGUCCAUGAGAGAACUCCGACCCCAAGCCACCUAAUGUGACGGGAGCCCAUAGGAGAGGUUUGUAAUUCCGCGAACAUAUCGGGGAAAUUGAUGUGGCACCACCCACCACCCAUCACUUCCCGGAAACAACUCCAGAGGAAUUGGGCCGUCACACAUGAGAAGAAUAUAUGGUUCGGGCUCUCCAUGGUGUCGCAGAGCGGACAUAGGCCAUCACUGGGGCCAUUGCGUUUGAGUACAUAGAUGAGAGAAUGGAGGAGCACAACACAAGGUGUGGGAUGAGAAGAGAGGGAUACAACACGGCACAAACUCUCUAAGCUCGAACUCUAGCCGAGAAGGCAAAGAGCAAGAUACAAGGCAUCUAGACCACGUCACGACCAAUGGUAGGCACCAACGUCGCACGGCCACGACACCAGGAACACCAGGACUUACCGGAUCAAUGUACCUCCCACCUCAAGUGCCUAGAGAAUUGACAAGUGGGAUGCACGACCUGGUCGGACCAGAGGGAGAAGCCAUGGAGAGAGCGCCACCGAUCGCGUACAUUGCGUCCCAGAUGCCCAUGCCACAAGGAACAACCCGAACCACCAAAGCGUCCAAGAUCUCGAAUCCAACACCGAACAUACCACGAGUAACCAAGACGAUGCCUUCAUGAAGGGUACGACGCCGAGAUGCCCCCGCUGUCCGGUCUGGCGAACCAGGCCUAGGGUUUCCCCUGAUACUUGAAAAGGGGCAUGGAGAAGAGGCCAUGGCAGCGUCUCCAAGAAGGGGUGGGCACCCGCAGGUGUCGCCACCGCCAGCAUCGGCAACCCGAGCAAGGAUUUCGCCCCGGCCAAAGUCCGAACAAUCAUCUGUUAGCCACCUGCUCUUUCACCACCUUGGUAUCGAUCCUGAUGCUUGACAACCUACACCUGCCGCACCACUUAUGCCCUUCACCGGACGUCACCAGCUGGUGGACGUCAUCCUAUUUGCACUUGCCAGGCCAGCACACCAAGGCUUGGUCCUCCGUUGUGCAACUUGUUUGGUGGUACAUCUGGAAAGAGAGAAACAAAUGUAUCUUCCGGCACAUGGCUGCUACCCCCAAGGCUGUAAUGUCGUGCAUCGCCAAUGAAGCUUCUCUGUGGUCGGCCGCUUGUAAAUCGAAGAUUGCUGGGCUGAUCAACAGACCAGGGGAACCUGACUAAUUAACUGAACUACCAACCUUUUGCUGUUUGCAUGGCCAUUUGUUGACUGACCCAUGCGAUGGCCACUCCGGCCAUUCAGUUGGGUCUAGUCCGCUGAGGUCCAUGAGCGUGCUGUAAUUUUCUUUCUUUGGCUCGGUAUCACCGACUGUAAUUCUUCUCUCUUAUUGAAAUGAAAGCUGCCCUGACGGCAUUUCAGUCAAAAUAAUAAUUCUUUACAGAACUUGUAGAAAAGAACUAGACAUAGCACCUCUGACUUCCAUUGAGGAAGAUGUGAGAAACAGAUGGCACAACUGCACAAGCAAAACUCACAGGGCCUCUUUCGUGUGGUUUCUUGAACACAUGAAUAGAUAAAACACAGGGAUAUAGUGCCAUACCGUCUUUGCUACUACAUGAUUGCUUGGAUGUUUAAUUUUGCACAUGAAAAUAUAGGAUUCUUUACAAGAAGUUAAAGUGGAUGGAAAUUUUCUUAUGAAAUUUAGUACUAAUGAGUCCUUAUAGAAAAUCCUAUGGAUUCAAUCCUACAAAUCAACAACGCUCAUGGGAAACCUCCAAACUUCCUUUAGAAAUCCUGUGAGGGGGGGCGGUUGGAAAGAACAACUAUGUAAACAAGAGGAAAGGGGGACCUCAGGGCCGAAGCAGGUAUACAGGAGGAUAGAUAUACCACCGGCUAGUACUGAAGAGCAAGCAAAAGAGAAUGAAGCUACUAAUAAUGUCAUGGUGGUUUUUACUGCUAGUUGUGACAAGCCGGGUGGAGGUACGGGAGGGGAGAUAUAUGGAGAUGGAGAGAGGGCGCAAAAAAAGAAGAAACCUACUCCUACUAAUUCCUAAAAUUCUGAAAGUUCAGCUGAUGGAACUGCCGGAGGCAUGGGAACCGCGAGUCAGUUCGCAAGCUUAGCAAUGUGGUGAAACAAGAAAGCCCCUCUUUGCUCCUCUUUGCUCUUCGUGAUGGAGACGAAGAUCAAGAAGUAAGGAGUGGAGAAUCUGCAGAACGAUUUAGGUUUUGCAGGUUGUUUUGCCGUGGAUAGCAACGGACUCAGUGGAGGGAUUGUUCUUUUUUGGUUGCAUGAGGUUGUGGUUGAUCUGAAGAAUUUCAGUUCGGGCCAUAUUGACACUAUGAUGCGGAGACAAAGCGAACAAUCUAUUGAAUGAGAAUUUACAGGUUUCUAUGGAGCUCCUCGGGCUGAGAAUAGAUAUCAUAGCCGGAGAUUCUUGAAAACGCUAUAUGGUACUCGUAUUAAACAUGAUGGAUUUGUAUGGGUGAUUUUAAUGAAACACUCUAUGGCAGCGAACAUUUUUCUUUAUCUGCUAGACACGAAUGGCAAAUGCGUGCAUUCGAGGAGGUGACUGAUGAAUGUCAUUCCAAGAUCCGGGUUACUCCGGCUUGCCAUAUAGUACAUGGGAUAAUCGGCAGCGGGGCAAUUCAAAUGUCAAAGCUCGGCUGGGCAGAGCGUUUGGUAAUGCAGCGUUCUUGGCCCGUUUUGCACGCGCGCGCGCGCACGCACGCACCUUUCAGAUACGAGAACGUGUGGCAAACAAACGUCGAUGUGAAUAUUUGAUUGCUGAAAAUUGGCGCAAGGGAUCUGGUGAUAAUGGUCUACAGGGUGUUGCUCAAGCCGUGUCAGACCUCCAAGCCACACUGAAUGCAUGGGGCGCUCGAGAGUUUGGUAGUCUGACCCGCACUGCUCGGAAACUCCGCCAAAAAGUAGAGAAAAUGCGUGGCAAAUCUGUGGCUCAUGGGCCAUCGGACAAGAAGAAGUCCAUCAUGGAUAAACUUCGGAAAACAACCUAUAAUAGCCGUGUGAUCAGUCCAAAAACAUUUUACACAAAUUCACACGUUCUAAAAGAUUAAAAUUUCAUGAAUUUUCCAAGUGGCAAUUACAAAUUUUCAAAUUUUUUGUCAUGAUGUAUGAGACAAACAUUUUAUAAAUUUGCCAUGUGAUCAAUCCAAUUUUUUUUCAUAAAUCCAACAUGUUCUAGAAAGCAAGUAUUCAUAAAAUUUCCGCUUCAUUAUCGCAAUUUUUUUAUUUUUGCCAUGAUGUAGUAAACAAAUUUGCCAUCAUUUCUAGGGAACAUUUUUUUUGUCUAGAACUCGCGAUGUGUCCAGUACAGACAACAAGUUGCUAGCCUAAAAAAAUGCCACACUUUUUUCUUGAACUUGCAAUGUGUCCAAUACAAACCACAAAGUUGUUAUCCUAAAAAAUGUCACAUAAAUUUGCCAUGCCAACACCAAUAUGAAGAAGAAAAAAUUGCCAAAGUAGGAGGCACGACAUAUAGCGGAGCAGGAGCUCGUAUUCGAGCUGGAGAUGCGGCCAGGCGAGAUCGAGGUAGGGCUCCUCCUCCUCAGGGGUGGCAUUUGGGUCAAUGGAGGCAAUAGACUCGUGCAGCUCGAGGGGGAGGGGCAGAAUAUGUUGGUGGAGAUGGCGGCAACUAGGGUCUCCUGGACGUUGUUUAGGAGGUGCGUGGGUGCAUUGUUGGGGGCCUACACGUAGUCGACGAGCUCGAGGAGCGCCUGGCGCUUGGCCUCCCUCUUGUGGGGGGUGCCUGAGGGAGUCAGAGAAAUCGAAGAGCGCGGUGAUGAGGCACAACUUGCGGAGGAGGAGGCAAAAGGGCAGUCGGCAACUGCGACGUCGCGGAGGAGUAGGAGCAGCUCGAGGAGCAGCAGCAACACGCUGGACGCGGCGGCGGCAUGAAGGCGGAGAGAAAUGUGCAACGAGGUCAUCACAACCUUGCGCCAUGGCGUGCAGAUACAUCUAUCAUAGUGGGGGCCAAGAAAUGACGCGUGGCACGCUGGACAUCCCCUGAGAUCGCUGCUAGAUAUCAACCCCCGUGUGGAGAAAGGUCGGCCCCUCGGUUCUCUAGAGCAUGGUUGUGGAGGUGGCGACACGGAGGAGAUGUCCUUGCGAUGAAGAUGGCAGCGCCAGAGGAGCCGACCUUGCGGAGGAGGUGAACUUUGCAACAUCGGAUCUGAGAGGAGGUAUUUGGGUGAGCAGGGAGAGAGGAAAUGGGGACAACGUGUCACAUGGGGGAAGAGAGCAAGAUGAUGAUGCGUUUGCUCGGUUUCCAUCAGCAACGAACCAUAGUGUGAUGCCGAUGUGUCAACCAUACAUGCGCCAAGAUUUAAUUGUCAGAUCCAACGUGACAGUGUUCACAACGGACCUCACCCAUACAUUCUUGAUCAUGUCUGCAAAGUCUUCCUGUACAACCAUCUCAAUUCAAACAUGAAAGAACAGCGAGAAGAUGGACUCAUAGAGUUAGAAUUAAGAAUGAUGGACGCAUGAUCCGAUAGUGCCCCGAUAUGCUCUAGGGCCCCCAUGGUUACCAAAGUAAAUUUUAGCUCCCAUUCGUUGUUCAUGAGUACUAUAUCAAGCUUCUCAUAUAUUGGCACACAACAGUUAUUCACACAAGUGAAUUGCCGCCCCGCAUACCGACUUCUCAAAUAUUCAAAUUGUCAAUGAGAAAAUUGAAUAUGAAAGGCCAGUAAGUGUUAGAGCGAUUAUUAUUUUUCUUUUCCUCGUACCUAAGCAUCUCUAACUGUAAGUAUCAAAAUCCGGUCUCCAAACGCCCGCGGAUGCGCCCGAGCGCGUCCGUGGGCACUGAACGGGUAGCACACAAUAAUUGUCCGCUGCAACCAUGGACAUCAAACUUCAUACCUCAAAUGCAUACCAGCCACGCAGACUAAAGACCUACAUAUUAUGUACAUAUCUAAACUACGUACUGAUCGUCGGAUAUGUCAAUGAUCUCCGUGCCAGGCGCCGGGUAGAUGAACGUGUGCGGCAGCUCCAUCAUGUACGAAGGCUCCGGCGCUUCGUCAUCCGAACUAGGGCGAAGAUCUCAUCAAUCUUCGUCCUUUGCGGCCGGAUGAAGCGCCGGUUGGCCUCCACAUAGGCCUCAUCCUGGAUGGGUUUGAGGAUGGCGGACUGCUCCGCCAUCUCCUCCGCAUGCGCGACCUCGUACUUUGCCACGAUGUCCUCCAUAGUGAAGCCCGCACCCAGCUCUAUUUCCUCCUCUGGCUCGACUGCCUCCUCCCCCAUGGGUUGGGGCUUCUCCGCCAAAGUGAGCAUGUCGUAGGUGGUGAUCAGGCACCUCGACAUGGUAAGCGGCAAACGGAUUGGAAGUCGCGGUGACAGAGGCGGAGAGGAGAAAGGGGAAGAAAUGGGGCGUGCUAGGGUUCGGUUGCCGCUGUCUGGCUUAAAUACCCGUUCUUCCUCCCUCGGGCGGCACGCCGGAGCAGUGCCAUGCAACGCGGAGCGGAGGAGGCACCCGUCGGACUAGUGGUCUAUCCGUGUCCCUUCAUGGACCGUAUCGGUCAGUCCGUCGUGGCGGGCGCAUCCGGGUGUCCUCAUAUCUGCCCAGAUAUGGGCCGGAUAUGGGGAGCGCCGGUCAGUCCGGGUGUGGGCCGGCUAUGGGAAGAUUGGUUGGGUGGUGUUUUCCGUCUCGACACUAACCGAGCUACCCGCCUGGGUGUUUCGGGCAGGUAUGGGGCUCUGGUUGUAGAUGCUCUUAAAUUCCUUCUAAUAAGCAUUAGAUGUGGGUUAUCCUUAGCCAAGUUCACUAAUUCCCAAAGAAAAGCAUAUUCAUGCUCAUCAUGGACGGCCCCAUAGAAUGCCAUCAGACUCCAUGUAAAAUUAUCGGUUCUAUUUCAAAGAUGAAAUAUAAAAUUCUUCUGUUGAAAAAGCUAACAAGUCCAUGGUUGUGAUUUGAAUCCCAAGUAAGAUUCCUCUAGACAUUCCAUGUGCUGCUAGACUAUGUCACGUGUAGUCAAAAUCACAUGUUAAGUGAUCUAAGACAUUCGUAAGGAAGUCACAUUUACUGGCCUCGAGAAUCGCCAUGAAAUUCAAUCCAUGUUGUCGCACACAAUCACUGACGCGUUUAUGUCGUCAAGUCUGAAAGACCUUUGCUAUUCCAGAACACGCCAUUCAUGUGGAAAUUCGGGUACGGUGGCUACCUUCUCCUUCUUGGGUGAUUUUCUGUUUUCUAAGGAAUGUGAUUUAGAAUUUCAUAAAGACGAUGUGAAGUCACAAAACAUGAACUAAGGUAUGGCAUCAUCCAAAUCCAAUCUUGGCAACUGCUCCAACCAAGUGGGGAGGAGGCAGACCAUCAUUGUACCAUCAUUUUUCUCCUCAGUUGGAAGGUUAGGAGAGGUACUCAGAUAUUUUGGAGAAACUUUUUAAGCGGUCGAUCUCCAUGUGUUUGAGCACUAGAACCGAUAGACUCACCUCGUUAAGCUAGAAGAAAUAUGAGUAUUUGAGCAAGCAAGAAAGGAUUCCGCAGAUACCUGAAGUGAAGUUCAAUUACGCGGAGCCUCGCGACACAUCUCCUUGUGCAUAGCAUGCUCAUCGGCCGGAGAAUACCUCAGAGAUGAUGGAUUGGCAAGUACAGCAGUCGUAGACGACGAAGUCGAUGCUGCAGGAGGGGCAUGUGGCGUUGACGGAACAACCCCUAGUGACGUCGACGAGGUCCCUAACCCGAACUGCAUGGCCCCACCGACUUAUAAGUUCAAGGUUAUGGACCAUACUAUUUGGCUGCCAUCAGCUCGCAGCUAACCUCACGCAAACAUUUUGUUCGCUAUGGACAGGUGAAACAAGCAAACAAAAGAUCCUCCCCUCGUACAUUCGUUGUAGCGGUUCCCAGCGGGACCUUAUCUGGCCCAAAAACGUCUUAACGGGCCGUAGAAAAAACAAACUUCAUCCUGAGUCAUUUGGAUGUUUCUACAUGACAAAUUGCUGUGCUCAACUAAAAAGGUCAUAAUUAAACCUGCCACCUCUCUAGAUAGAAAAUGCCAUAAAAAAUACAUAAAUUUACAAAUUUAUAGAGUGCCAUGCUCUGAAAAAGUGCAAAUUGCCAUGCUACUUUAUAAAACUGUCCUUUAGUUAAAAGGAUUUUAUCUCCAAGUCCCACUAAAAAUUGCAUGCCAUUAAAAACAAAAUGCCAUCAUCUCAAUAACAAAAAUUUCAUCCUAUUAUUAAUAAAAAUGGCAUGCGCUUAGUUAUAGAACUGUGAUGCCAUUGAAAUAAAAAAUGUCAUCCUCUUAAUAAUAAAUUGACAUCCAUAUUAUUAAUAAAAAUGGCAUAUUAUUAAUAAUAAAACUGCCAUGUACAAAAACAAAGUUGACUUAUGAACAUUAGAAAAAAAGGUUUAAAUUUGCCACAUGACAUACUCCCUCCGUCCCAUAAUAUAAGAGCGUUUUUUGAAACGCUCUUGUAUUAUGGGAUGGAGGGAGUAGUUUCAAAAAAUUAUAAAAACUGUCAUAUUAAAUUCUUUUAAAAAUUCCAUGUACCUAAGCAAAACAGAACAUAAAGAGCUAUGCUCUCCCAGGUAGAGACUCGCGUACCUAGCCAACGUGGUCUACGGGAAGUGUUUUGAUUAGUAUCAGGUUCGCUAGCUUUUAUAUUCAUAAUAAUGUAUUAUUCACGGAAAAGGCUUGUGUCGCACAAUGCUAAAGAGACGUAACACAAUUGCUCAAAAGGGCAAGAUACGAAACUUGUGCAUAACUUAUUCCUGUCAGUAAAGUACUAGUUUUUUAGUUAGUAGUGUGCAAUACUGUUUAAGAAAUGCAUGCAAUCUGAGACUUCAGAAAACGUAUACUUGAGUCAAACUACACUAGAAUAGUCAGUGAAAAACUACACUGAAUUAUAAAGGUCUUUUCCUUGAAAGAAUAGGUUGAGAAACAAAACGUGUCGACUUUCUAUUCCAAGUAUGCUACAUGUUAAUAAAUCUAACGUGUCUUCUGACUUGCGUGAUGAUUCGUGCAACGAAUCCGACGGGAGAGAGCGCGUUCGUCAGGAUUGGCCUCCCUCGUGAAUGUUCGCCAGUUGCUUUUCCGAUGGCUAUUAGGCGGAACGUUUGCCAGUUAGCUUUUCCGAAGGUUAUUGGGCGGAAAUCGCUUUCGGUGUCGAACUCGGACCGCAUCCCUUCACCUCUUCUUUUCUUUCCCGACAGCUCCAGGUCCCUUCAUGGCUGUUGUAAUCUGCAAAUGAAUUAUGUGUCCUUCAAAUCGGGAAGACCUCCAAGCCGAAAGCCAAUCAUGAAGGAUCUCUCCGUCCCAAACCAAUCAUGUACAGUACUAGACAUAAAAACGACGCGUUAACCGGGGACUGCUUCCUUUCUCCAUCUUACAGGUACUAGCCCACAACAUUCACUAACAAACAACAUAUCACUCUCACAGUGACUUUUGAGGAGACGUCCAAGCUUCCAAUUCGCGUGGAGCACGAUGAUUACGAUGCGAAUUAACGCAUGUUCAGAAUAAAUCAAACAGAUGUAAAGUCAAGGCUGAGAAACAAUAAUGCACUCCUGCUUGAUUAAACAAACUGAUAUGAAGCAAGGAAGUCAGUGGGGGGAGCUCUAGCCUAUACUCAUGACAAAACAGAAGCAGGAGCAAGCUGCCACCCCUAGUCCCAGCCCCGCUCUCUUCUCCCUCCACCCUACACUUUUCUUCCUAUUCUCGUCGCUAGAUUCCAACUUCCAGUUCACCCCCGCCGCGAACAAGAGGCAACCGGCGACGACGAAGGCAGAGGAGGACGAACCUUCGCACUCGCAGGGCGAUGACCGGAGGCUGCCGGCCAUGGAUCAUGUCAGGAAGCGCCACCAGGAGAAGGGCUUCCUCUAUGACUGCUUCUUCAUGUUGUGCUGCUGCUUCUUCUGCCAUGAAGCCUGCGAGCACUGCCUCAAGCGCUUCUGCUGCUGCCGCAACAAGGACGAGUGACCCACCAACCGGUCCGGAAUCGGCGCUCAUCCGAAGAUAAACCUUGUGGAUUUGUGAUUGUAUAUUUUCAGUUUGGUUGCCAAUUUGCACCAUUUUAGUGCACUGGUGUAGUAAAGUCCGUGCGUGUACAUCUGGAAUUGGUCUUCCCCUGCAUCUGAACACUGUACACCAAGAGACCCAGAGUAAGAAAACUGUGGUAUUCUUUUUUUUAACCGUAAGGAAACUGUGGUAUUCAGCAGAUGCAUACAGACGUU